ACCUCCUGGCGGAAGUAGAUCACCUGCGCCGUGGUGACCACCGUGAAGACCGAGCAUAACUUGGAUGCUGUGAACGCUUCCGCCACCGCCUCUGUUUCCAAAAUCGGAAAAUAUCGGGUCGUCGAACGGUCCACCUUCCAUGGAGUCCGGGGAAAAAUGAACGCAAAUUAUUAUAAAACUAGCGGCGAGCAAUUAUAUGCAAAAAUGUGGAUGAUUGCCAACGGCGCGUAAUGGAAUCUGGACCAAUUGCGAUCAAUUGUUGCGGUUAUGAUUAAUUUUGAUUAGUUUUAACCAAAGUUAACGAACUGAACUAGUUGUACCGGGGCUUGAUGCCCGACUGAUCUUGUUCAAACUCUGCAGUCUGCCUCUGUCGCUUGCCUCGACAACACUUACUUCUCUACCAACGGGAGUAACACUGAACCUCCAACAUAACACUUACACACAUUUAUAUUUUAACGAGAUCCGAACAGCCCCGCCUCUUACACCCCCGUUGCAACCAAUGCCGCGACGGCAUAGGUCUGACGCCCAUUAUUCUAACGUACGUACAUACGAUACUGUGAUCAUCGCAUAGGUAUGCGUAUACAUACAUAUACGUAUAUUCAGGCACAGGCGCAACCGGGAUCAUCGUCAUCUACGCGGCCAUGCGGCACGCGGAUCCACACGCGCCCCAUACGCAAUAUGCGGGUACAUAACGUUCCUCAUCUUAUGUUCCCUCUGAAAAAAAUUGCCCCCCUUUCACCUGAAUUACAGUCACAUUGGUCUGUGAAAAAUGAUAAUCGGAAAAGCCCAUGCACGAAAAUAUUCAUGCGAAUUUGAUCUUUAUGUAUUACGUAUACAGAUGUUCGAGAUAUAGAUCAUCGGAUUCGCCCACGCCAACGGCCUUCUUAAUUUUGCGCGAUCCCCACUCUCCUGAGGGAAUUACGCUCGGUUAUAACGUGAUUGUGUCUCCUUCACUAUUCAUCUCAUCUGUGAGAAACUUACAAGUUUUCCAGUUGGGAUAUAUAUAUAUCAGGUGAAUCGAACAAUCGCAUGUAUGGGACCAUGAAGUUUUUGCUUCUGUUUGGACUUUAUAUAUGAAUGAAAUGAGAAUUAUAUUUUCCCUAACGUCCUACACUUU
This is a long non-coding RNA of Athalia rosae (coleseed sawfly), 1117 nucleotides long. RefSeq lists it as uncharacterized. NCBI's taxonomy places the organism in Eukaryota, Metazoa, Arthropoda, Insecta, Hymenoptera, Athaliidae. The record is from RefSeq and is a predicted model, not a curated record. The transcript has 3 exons.